Long non-coding RNA from Oncorhynchus tshawytscha (Chinook salmon), 1208 nucleotides. RefSeq lists it as uncharacterized. The record is from RefSeq and is a predicted model, not a curated record. Lineage: Eukaryota; Metazoa; Chordata; Actinopteri; Salmoniformes; Salmonidae. The transcript has 3 exons.
UGCCACCUAGCCUUAGCUGCGCUCGUUCGCGACUAGCAUGCAAAUAUUUACAAAGCUCACAAUUUGACCUAGGACAACCCUGUAAAAACUUUGCUAAUAUCUACAACAUAUCAACUGCACAUAUUUUACUUUUGAAUACCCUUUGAAAUAUUCAUAUUUCAUCUUAGCCUGUGAUGUAGAAUAUAACAACGUCAGACAUAAACCAGGAACGUUAUUAACUUUAGUAAUAUAGCACUGUUUGAACAGGAAUCGUAGUCCCAUCCAUGGUCUCUAUUUUCACAAAACUGUUGUCUUUCAGAAUGGAAACCAUGCAGUGGAGCCUUGAGUGGGCUAGGGGGGGCUGAUACAUGUUGCUUCAGCAGAUGACCGAGUUGAUCAAGUAUCUUAGUUCAUUCAGGAGAUUUGUACCUCUGGCUGGCAUGCACAACAAGCCAGUUCCGGUACCGGGCUCCUCGGACAUGGAGAGGAGCUAGAGGUGCACCUUGUUAUGCCAUCACUCAAGAGCAACGGAGGUUUCUGAUGUCCUGUGCUUUCAGUGUGUCUCAAAUGGUAGAUAUUCUACUACAUGUGUCCCGAUCUACAGUCAAACGUUGUCUAAGACACUUCAAUCUGUCACAUGCACCGUUAUAUUCUGACAUGUCAGACUUGCCUCUGGAUGAAAAGAUUAAGGACUUGGUGGCUGGGAACGACAAACUUGGACCGGAGGCUGUUCGAGCACAAUUAAGGGCUCCGGGUGCAUAGUCGCAGAGUGAGUGACAGCAUGCUUCGUGUUAACCCAAGGGCGGCUGCACUCAGAGCCAUGUCGCAGAGGCUGCAUAGAAGGUCAUACCGUGUUGCGGGACCAAACUCAUAAUGGCACCUUGAUGGAAACUACAAACUGAUAGACACAAACAUCUUUAUCACUGGUGAGAAUUUGUACAUUGUAACAUCUCAAAUCGUUCAUCAACAACUUGUUCAUCAACAAUUAACAGUUCAGUUUAGCAAGCAACGGCCCUUGAUACCAUACAUCACUCAUGUGGAGAAUAAUUGUUUUGUGUUUCUGCUACUUCUGUGAUUGAUAGAAUAUCUGCAUCAUGAAAUUAACAAACAUGCUUAUAUUGAGGACAUAUGGAGGUGUAAGGUUCUGCUUUUCUAUUCUUAAUCAACCUUGUGUUCUUUUUCUUUGUGUCCUGUCUCAUUUUUGUUCAUUGAUUUCGCCUGUGUUCUUU